AGGGAAUCUUCGGCAAUGGACGGAAGUCUGACCGAGCAACGCCGCGUGAGUGAAGAAGGUUUUCGGAUCGUAAAGCUCUGUUGUAAGAGAAGAACGGGUGUGAGAGUGGAAAGUUCACACUGUGACGGUAUCUUACCAGAAAGGGACGGCUAACUACGUGCCAGCAGCCGCGGUAAUACGUAGGUCCCGAGCGUUGUCCGGAUUUAUUGGGCGUAAAGCGAGCGCAGGCGGUUAGAUAAGUCUGAAGUUAAAGGCUGUGGCUUAACCAUAAUACGCUUUGGAAACUGUUUAACUUGAGUGCAAGAGGGGAGAGUGGAAUUCCAUGUGUAGCGGUGAAAUGCGUAGAUAUAUGGAGGAACACCGGUGGCGAAAGCGGCUCUCUGGCUUGUAACUGACGCUGAGGCUCGAAAGCGUGGGGAGCAAACAGGAUUAGAUACCCUGGUAGUCCACGCCGUAAACGAUGAGUGCUAGGUGUUAGACCCUUUCCGGGGUUUAGUGCCGCAGCUAACGCAUUAAGCACUCCGCCUGGGGAGUACGACCGCAAGGUUG
RNAcentral lists this ribosomal RNA (549 nucleotides) under uncultured bacterium. RNAcentral describes it as "bacterial SSU rRNA". It matches the Rfam family "Bacterial small subunit ribosomal RNA", at positions 356 to 896 of the family's 1533-position model. The record is from RNAcentral.